AAACUCCAACCUACUUAGCAAGUGCCAGAGUCACUCUUUCCAUCCCACGUCUUGGGGAGCGGGGACCAGGACAGCGGGGUGACCUUCGCAGGAGCUCGGAUGAGCCCAGGGACUGGGUGCUCCUGGCAGCCAGGGAGAGCCACAAGAAAGCAGCAUGAUCCCCACCCUGCCGUGGAACAGAAACCUGCUCUCAGCUGGCACUGCCUUUGAACUGAAGUGCUGGAAUUUGCCCCAACACGUGGAGGAAGAGAUUUCCCUCCAUGUUGUGGGUGAGACUUGGGAAGAGGCCUCAGCACCAUCUGAUGGAGCUCACUGAUCACACCAUCACGCUUCCCGGUGCGGGGAGAUCGUGUGUUACACACGCUUGAACACGGAGAGCUGGUGCUGGACGCCAAGAAAGCAGCUGGGAAAACACACCACAGCCAAGGGACCUCUGCACAGGCACCACCAGAUGGGGUCUGGACAUGGAGGCCCAGCUCCAACAACCCUGCACCCCACUCCAGUGUCAGCACAGCAUCACACCAUGGCAGGAAAGCUGCUUUUUGGGAAAUGGGAAUAACACCAGCACAAAUCGCUCCCAACUGAAUUGUUCAUGGACCUUCAGACACCAUCAAAGUCAGGAGCACAGCAUGUUCGUGGCCAAAAUCAAUCACUCCAUUCUCACACUGGGAGGGGGAAGGGGCAGCAGUAAAGGGAUGUUAUUCUGUGUUUGAAGGAAACAUUCGACCAGAGACCUAUUUUUCUUUCUGUAAGAGAGUAAAUUGGCCAUAACUGCAAAUGAACUGCAGGGAUUCACUACAGACCAGGAUAAAAAAUUCAUUUUAUUUCAUUGCAAUUUCAGAAUUUAAGGAGUAGAAAGUAUUGAUUUAAAUAAUUAAACCAUUUUGUAAUCUUAUACUUAAAAGUGUCUGUCUGUAAACAUGGACAAAAAGGACAUUAUAAGCUUUUGAGGAGAACAUAAGAGUCUAAGACUCAGGGAGACUUCUGGUUCUCUAAAACUCUUAAGUGGUCAUCUAAACAUGUUUUAAACUCUGGCCUGCCUGCAUUUUUGCAAGUGACAGAGAUGUUCCACUUGUUUCUCAUGCCCAGACUUCACCCUUCAGUGCUCCACUUGUUCUCUGCACGCCUUGAGUCCUGGCUGUCACUCUUUGCCUCUGUGUCCUGAGCCCCUCUGAGCAGUUUUCAUGUCUCUGGGCUGCAGUCUCUCUCUUUGUUUCAUAUCUGAACCUAUCCCUACACUUCCAUAUCUGCACUUAUAAAGUAUCUCUUUUCUGGUAUUACUUACUCGUAAUCACUCUAUAAUUACAUUGUGGAGCCCUGUCGAGCUCCCAGGAACAAAUCUCAUAUGAAGGAUGCAAAAAUGGACCUCUAUCUCAGGGAAAAUUGUGGCAUGUCAGAGAUGAGGAAGUUGUUUGAUCAUUAGUCUUAUCUAGAACAAAUUGCGCAUAAUAACCUUUAAUAUUUUCUAUCAGAUUUGGUUCCUCAGAGAGACACAGGUUUUAAUUAAUCUGUAUUUAACGGAAUCAUUUAAGUAUAUCUGAGCCCCCAAAAUAAGAUACUUAAAUGUGCAUUAAAAAAUAAAUAAAUCACUAGUUCACUGAA
Corvus hawaiiensis (hawaiian crow) is the source of this 1602-nucleotide long non-coding RNA. RefSeq lists it as uncharacterized. NCBI's taxonomy places the organism in Eukaryota, Metazoa, Chordata, Aves, Passeriformes, Corvidae. The transcript has 3 exons. The record is from RefSeq and is a predicted model, not a curated record.